This 447-nucleotide ribosomal RNA is filed under the name uncultured bacterium. RNAcentral's name for it is "SSU rRNA". It matches the Rfam family "Bacterial small subunit ribosomal RNA", at positions 26 to 518 of the family's 1533-position model. The record is from RNAcentral.
AGAGCGAACGCUGGCGGCAGGCUUAACACAUGCAAGUCGAGCGGGCGUAGCAAUACGUCAGCGGCAGACGGGUGAGUAACGCGUGGGAACGUACCUUUUGGUUCGGAACAACCCAGGGAAACUUGGGCUAAUACCGGAUAAGCCCUUACGGGGAAAGAUUUAUCGCCGAAAGAUCGGCCCGCGUCUGAUUAGCUAGUUGGUGAGGUAAUGGCUCACCAAGGCGACGAUCAGUAGCUGGUCUGAGAGGAUGAUCAGCCACAUUGGGACUGAGACACGGCCCAAACUCCUACGGGAGGCAGCAGUGGGGAAUAUUGGACAAUGGGCGCAAGCCUGAUCCAGCCAUGCCGCGUGAGUGAUGAAGGCCCUAGGGUUGUAAAGCUCUUUUGUGCGGGAAGAUAAUGACGGUACCGCAAGAAUAAGCCCGGCUAACUUCGCGCUAGCAGCCGC